GGGGGCUGGAGAGAUAGCUCAGCAG
RNAcentral lists this non-coding RNA (25 nucleotides) under Cricetulus griseus (Chinese hamster). The record is from RNAcentral. Lineage: Eukaryota; Metazoa; Chordata; Mammalia; Rodentia; Cricetidae.